Molecule: long non-coding RNA, 645 nt
Organism: Uranotaenia lowii
Lineage: Eukaryota; Metazoa; Arthropoda; Insecta; Diptera; Culicidae
Exons: 4
Source: RefSeq, a predicted model, not a curated record
UUUCAUUAUACAUGUUCAAAAUUUUAUUACCUCAAUAAAUUAUGACAGGAUCGUAUCGGUGACAGUGACAAUAUGAUAUAUGAUUUAUUUCCUUAUAGCUUAAAGAUGUCGGAAACACCAAUCGAGUGAGCUGCACUAAUUGUUUCACUCUGGAGGCUGAAAAUAAGAAGCUUAAGGAGCAAUUAAAGAUCAGUAAGCGGAAGCUGCAGAGGGUGCAGGGGGAAAAAUUGUGCUCGGACGAGCACGCACUACGAUUGUCGAAAGAACUCCAAUUGAUGAAGGACAAAAAUAAGUUUCCUGAGGCUUCUUUUUCCGAGCAAGAAGGAAUUCCGAUGACCGUAGCAGAUUUGGAUGAACUGAAUGGCCGCGCGACAACAGACAGCAUGUUUGCUGGGUUGCUCGCUGUUCGCUUGGUCGGUGCAGAUAACCUGAUAAAGAUGAGCGUAACCGGUCAGGCGUGCCAUCGGUACGCCAAUAUGAAAAAAAGAAGACGGAACUCGUUUGUACCCAACCCCAAAAAAACUGGACCCCAACGUGUUGCAGUUUAUCUGUAACAAAAUCGCAGAACGUACUGCCAUCCGUGUUGGUUUACAAAACGUACUUACAAUUCGGCAAUAUCAGAAAUAAAAAAUAAAAACAUCAACA